Molecule: ribosomal RNA, 527 nt
Filed under: uncultured bacterium
Lineage: Bacteria
Description: bacterial SSU rRNA
Rfam family: Bacterial small subunit ribosomal RNA
Source: RNAcentral
CUUGACAUCCAGAGAACUUGGCAGAGAUGCUUGGUGCCUUCGGGAACUCUGAGACAGGUGCUGCAUGGCUGUCGUCAGCUCGUGUUGUGAAAUGUUGGGUUAAGUCCGCAACGAGCGCAACCCCUAUCCUUUGUUGCCAGCGAUUCGGUCGGGAACUCAAAGGAGACUGCCGGUGAUAAACCGGAGGAAGGUGGGGAUGACGUCAAGUCAUCAUGGCCCUUACGAGUAGGGCUACACACGUGCUACAAUGGCGCAUACAAAGAGAAGCGACCUCGCGAGAGCAAGCGGACCUCAUAAAGUGCGUCGUAGUCCGGAUCGGAGUCUGCAACUCGACUCCGUGAAGUCGGAAUCGCUAGUAAUCGUAGAUCAGAAUGCUACGGUGAAUACGUUCCCGGGCCUUGUACACACCGCCCGUCACACCAUGGGAGUGGGUUGCAAAAGAAGUAGAUAGCUUAACCUUCGGGAGGGCGUUUACCACUUUGUGAUUCAUGACUGGGGUGAAGUCGUAACAAGGUAGGCGUAGACGU